GCGGCGAAAGGGACAGUAAUGUGUAGAUCAUCUGCCCUCAGGCCCGGGAUAGCUGCGGGAAACUGCAGGUAAUACCGGAUAAUAUCUCCGGAUCAAAGGUGUGAUUCCGCCUGGGGAUGAGUCUACAUCCUAUUAGCUUGUUGGUGGGGUAAUGGCCUACCAAGGCGAUGAUGGGUAGCGGGUGUGAGAGCACGACCCGCGUCAUUGGGACUGAGACACUGCCCAGACACCUACGGGUGGCUGCAGUCGAGAAUCUUCGGCAAUGGGCGCAAGCCUGACCGAGCGACGCCGCGUGCGGGAUGAAGGCCUUCGGGUUGUAAACCGCUGUCAGAGGGGAUGAAAUGCAGGUGGGUUCUCCCAUCUGUUUGACAUAGCCUCAGAGGAAGGACGGGCUAAGUUCGUGCCAGCAGCCGCGGUAAGACGAACCGUCCAAACGUUAUUCGGAAUUACUGGGCUUAAAGGGUGCGUAGGCGGCGCGGAAAGUUGGGUGUGAAAUCCCUCGGCUCAACCGAGGAACUGCGCUCAAUACUGCCGUGCUCGAGGGAGAUAGAGGUGAGCGGAACUUAGGGUGGAGCGGUGAAAUGCGUUGAUAUCCUAAGGAACACCGGUGGCGAAAGCGGCUCACUGGAUCUCUUCUGACGCUGAGGCACGAAAGCUAGGGUAGCAAACGGGAUUAGAUACCCCGGUAGUCCU
RNAcentral lists this ribosomal RNA (693 nucleotides) under uncultured Planctomycetaceae bacterium. Its description in RNAcentral is "bacterial SSU rRNA". It matches the Rfam family "Bacterial small subunit ribosomal RNA", at positions 95 to 797 of the family's 1533-position model. Lineage: Bacteria; Pseudomonadati; Planctomycetota; Planctomycetia; Planctomycetales; Planctomycetaceae. The record is from RNAcentral.